This 73-nucleotide transfer RNA is filed under the name Rasbora ennealepis. RNAcentral's name for it is "tRNA-Asn". It matches the Rfam family "tRNA". From Rfam's summary of the family: Transfer RNA (tRNA) molecules are approximately 80 nucleotides in length. Their secondary structure includes four short double-helical elements and three loops (D, anti-codon, and T loops). Further hydrogen bonds mediate the characteristic L-shaped molecular structure. tRNAs have two regions of fundamental functional importance: the anti-codon, which is responsible for specific mRNA codon recognition, and the 3' end, to which the tRNAs corresponding amino acid is attached (by aminoacyl-tRNA synthetases). tRNAs cope with the degeneracy of the genetic code in two manners: having more than one tRNA (with a specific anti-codon) for a particular amino acid; and 'wobble' base-pairing, i.e. permitting non-standard base-pairing at the 3rd anti-codon position. The record is from RNAcentral. Lineage: Eukaryota; Metazoa; Chordata; Actinopteri; Cypriniformes; Danionidae.
UAGAUGGAUGCUUGUUGGUUGGAGCGCUUAACUGUUAAUUAAGAAUUUGUAGGAUCGAGGCCUUCCCAUCUAG